ACGAUGAACCACUUCGGUGGGGAUUAGUGGCGAACGGGUGAGUAACACGUGGGCAAUCUGCCCUGCACUCUGGGACAAGCCCUGGAAACGGGGUCUAAUACCGGAUAUGAGUCUCCAUCGCAUGGUGGAGGCUGUAAAGCUCCGGCGGUGCAGGAUGAGCCCGCGGCCUAUCAGCUUGUUGGUGAGGUAACGGCUCACCAAGGCGACGACGGGUAGCCGGCCUGAGAGGGCGACCGGCCACACUGGGACUGAGACACGGCCCAGACUCCUACGGGAGGCAGCAGUGGGGAAUAUUGCACAAUGGGCGAAAGCCUGAUGCAGCGACGCCGCGUGAGGGAUGACGGCCUUCGGGUUGUAAACCUUCUUUCAGCAGGGAAGAAGCGAAAGUGACGGUACCUGCAGAAGAAAGCGCCGGGCUAACUACGUGCCAGCAGCCGCGGUAAUACGUAGGGCGCGAGCGUUGUCCGGGAAUUAUUGGGCGUAAAGAGCUCGUAGGCGGCUUGUCGCGUCGGUUGUGAAAGCCCGGGGCUUAACCCCGGGUCUGCAGUCGAUACGGGCAGGCUAGAGUUCGGUAGGGGAGAUCGGAAUUCCUGGUGUAGCGGUGAAAUGCGCAGAUAUCAGGAGGAACACCGGUGGCGAAGGCGGAUCUCUGGGCCGAUACUGACGCUGAGGAGCGAAAGCGUGGGGAGCGAACAGGAUUAGAUACCCUGGUAGUCCACGCCGUAAACGGUGGGCACUAGGUGUGGGCAACAUUCCACGUUGUCCGUGCCGCAGCUAACGCAUUAAGUGCCCCGCCUGGGGAGUACGGCCGCAAGGCUAAAACUCAAAGGAAUUGACGGGGGCCCGCACAAGCGGCGGAGCAUGUGGCUUAAUUCGACGCAACGCGAAGAACCUUACCAAGGCUUGACAUACACCGGAAAACCCCUGGAGACAGGGUCCCCCUUGUGGUCGGUGUAACAGGUGGUGCAUGGCUGUCGUCAGCUCGUGUUCGUGGAGAUGUUUGGGUUAAGUCCCGCAACCGAGCGCAACCCUUGUCCCGUGUUGCCAGCAGGCCCUUGUGGUGCUGGGGACUCACGGGAGACCGCCGGGGUCAACUCGGAGGAAGGUGGGGACGACGUCAAGUCAUCAUGCCCCUUAUGUCUUGGGCUGCACACGUGCUACAAUGGCCGGUACAAUGAGCUGCGAUACCGCGAGGUGGAGCGAAUCUCAAAAAGCCGGUCUCAGUUCGGAUUGGGGUCUGCAACUCGACCCCAUGAAGUCGGAGUCGCUAGUAAUCGCAGAUCAGCAUUGCUGCGGUGAAUACGUUCCCGGGCCUUGUACACACCGCCCGUCACGUCACGAAAGUCGGUAACACCCGAAGCCGGUGGCCCA
Molecule: ribosomal RNA, 1371 nt
Filed under: Streptomyces sp. DR-BS6
Lineage: Bacteria; Bacillati; Actinomycetota; Actinomycetes; Kitasatosporales; Streptomycetaceae
Description: bacterial SSU rRNA
Rfam family: Bacterial small subunit ribosomal RNA
Source: RNAcentral